RNAcentral lists this ribosomal RNA (482 nucleotides) under uncultured bacterium. RNAcentral's name for it is "partial 16S ribosomal RNA". It matches the Rfam family "Bacterial small subunit ribosomal RNA", at positions 28 to 507 of the family's 1533-position model. The record is from RNAcentral.
GAUGAACGCUAGCGGCAGGCCUAAUACAUGCAAGUCGGACGGGAUUCAGGAGCUUGCUUCUGAUGAGAGUGGCGCACGGGUGCGUAACACGUAUGUAACCUACCUUUAUCAGGGGGAUAGCCUCUCGAAAGAGAGAUUAAGCCCGCAUAAAAUCACAGCACAGCAUUGUGUAAUGAUCAAAUAUUUAUAGGAUAAAGAUGGGCAUGCGGAACAUUAGCUAGAUGGCGGGGUAACGGCCCACCAUGGCGACGAUGUUUAGGGGAUCUGAGAGGAUGGCCCCCCACGCUGGUACUGAGACACGGACCAGACUCCUACGUGAGGCAGCAGUAAGGGAUAUGUGUCAAUGGGCAGAAGCCUUAGCCAGCCAUGCCGCGUGCAGGAAGACGGCCCUACGGGUUGUAAACUGCUUUUAUACGGGAAUAAACCCAGAUACGUGUAUCUGGCUGAAUGUACUGUAAGAAUAAGGAUCGGCUAACUCCGUG